CUCCGCCCCUGGUGGUCGUGACCUCUAACGACCUCUAACGACCUCCGCGUUCCUCCCUCAGAGUAAGUACAAGGAGGCCGGCAGGAGGAGCCUCUCCCAGAGCUUCUACUCUCAGCUGCCUCAGACCGCCGACACCACGUUUGCUAAAGGUGUCGCUGAGCUGCAGAGCGAGAUGCGUUACAAGGAGGCCGGUAAGAAGGCGGCGAGCUCGUGUUUGUACUCCCUGCUUCCGGAGACUUUGGAGACGGCCCACGCCAGAGAAGCCUCCGAGCUGCUCAGCGAGGUGAAGUAUAAAGAAGCUGUGAAGCUGCAGACCCAGAGCAGUUUGUACCAUCAGCUCCCGGAGACCACGGAGACCCAGCUGGCCAAGCAGCUGUCUGAGCUGCAGAGCCAGGUACGCUGGAAGCAUUUAGUUUGAAAAGUGUGAAACGUAGCUAAGCUACGUCCCAA
RNAcentral lists this long non-coding RNA (450 nucleotides) under Cyclopterus lumpus (lumpfish). RNAcentral's name for it is "lncRNA (ENSCLMG00005011228.1)". Lineage: Eukaryota; Metazoa; Chordata; Actinopteri; Perciformes; Cyclopteridae. The record is from RNAcentral.